AGUCAGCGCAGGCAGACCCGAAACCGGGUGACCUAUCCAUGUCCAGGUUGAAGCUUCCGUAAGAGGAAGUGGAGGACCGAACCCACAUCCGUUGAAAAGGGUGGGGAUGAGGUGUGGAUAGCGGAGAAAUUCCAAUCGAACCCGGAGAUAGCUGGUUCUCCCCGAAAUAGCUUUAGGGCUAGCGUCGAGGUAAGUUGCGUGAAGGUAGAGCACUGAAUAUGUGAUGGCCCCAUCUCGGGGUACUGAGCAUAAUCAAACUGCGAAUGUCACGCCAACAUGCUCGGCAGUCAGACAGCGGGUGAUAAGGUCCGUUGUCAAGAGGGAAACAGCCCAGACCAUCAGCUAAGGUCCCAAAAUGUAUGCUAAGUGGAAAAGGAUGUGGAGAUGUACAGACAACUAGGAGGUUGGCUCAGAAGCAGCCAUCCUUUAAAGAGUGCGUAACAGCUCACUAGUCGAAUGACUCUGCGCCGAUAAUUUACCGGGGCUAAGCAUACUACCGAAGCUAUGGAUCCCAAGGGAUGGUAGGGGAGCGUUCCAUGAACGGAGAAGUACGACCGAAAGGACGUGUGGAGAUCAUGGAAGAGAGAAUGCCGGUGUGAGUAGCGGAACGUGGGUGAGAAUCCCACGCACCGAAAACCCAAGGUUUCCAGAGGAAGGUUCGUCCGCUCUGGGUAAGUCGGGACCUAAGGCGAGGCCGAAAGGCGUAGUCGAUGGACAACAGGUAGAGAUUCCUGUACCCGUAUAUAUGUGAAGGAAUGACGGAGAGAGGAAGCUGCAGCCAGCGGCUGGAAGAGCUGGUGCAAGCGAGAUAUCGGGAUGGCAGGCAAAUCCACCAUCCGAAACGAGAAGGCGUGAAGCGUACGGAAAGCUACGGCGAGUACGGAAGGCAGUGGAGGAACUUCCAAGAAAAGUUUCUAACGUUAAGUAUAUAUGGCCCGUACCGAAAAUGGACACACAUGGGUGAGGAGAGAAUCCUAAGGUGAGCGAGAGAACUAUAGCUAAGGAACUCUGCAAAAUGACUCCGUAACUUAGGGAGAAGGAGUGCUCAUAGAGAUAUGAGCCGCAGUGAAACGGCCCAAGCGACUGUUUACCAAAAACACAGCUCUCUGCUAAGCCGCAAGGCGAAGUAUAGGGGGUGACGCCUGCCCGGUGCUGGAAGGUUAAGGGGAGGGGUUAACGCAAGUGAAGCCCUGAACUGAAGCCCCAGUAAACGGCGGCCGUAACUAUAACGGUCCUAAGGUAGCGAAAUUCCUUGUCAGGUAAGUUCUGACCCGCACGAAAGGCGUAACGAUUUGGGCGCUGUCUCAGCUGUAGACUCGGUGAAGUCUUAGUACCUGUGAAGAUGCAGGUUACCCGCGACUAGACGGAAAGACCCCAUGGAGCUUCACUGCAGGUUGAUAUUGGGAUUUGAUGCAGCAUGUACAGGAUAGGUAGGAGGCAAAGAGAUGGAUACGCCAGUAUUCAAGGAGCCGCUGUUGGGAUACUACCCCUGUUGUAUUGGAUUUCUAACCGGACGACGUAGAGCCGUUGACGGGACAGUGUCAGUCGGGCAGUUUGACUGGGGCGGUCGCCUCCCAAAGAGUAACGGAGGCGCCCAAAGAUACCCUCAGCUUGGAUGGAAACCAAGCGCAGAGUGCAAAGGCAAAAGGGUGUUUGACUGCGAGACCCACAAGUCGAGCAGGGACGAAAGUCGGGCUUAGUGAUCCGGCGGUGCUGAAUGGAAAGGCCGUCGCUCAACGGAUAAAAGCUACCCUGGGGAUAACAGGCUGAUCUCCCCCAAGAGUCCACAUCGACGGGGAGGUUUGGCACCUCGAUGUCGGCUCAUCGCAUCCUGGGGCUGAAGUAGGUCCCAAGGGUUGGGCUGUUCGCCCAUUAAAGCGGUACGCGAGCUGGGUUCAGAACGUCGUGAGACAGUUCGGUCCCUAUCCGUUGUGGGCGCAGGAAAUUUGAGAGGAGCUGUCCUUAGUACGAGAGGACCGGGAUGGACGUACCUCUGGUGUACCGGUUGCAGACCAACUGCACAGCCGGGUAGCUAUGUAUGGAACGGAUAAACGCUGAAGGCAUCUAAGCGUGAAGCCGCCCUCAAGAUAAGAUUUCCCAUUCU
This 2104-nucleotide ribosomal RNA is filed under the name human gut metagenome. Its description in RNAcentral is "bacterial LSU rRNA". It matches the Rfam family "Bacterial large subunit ribosomal RNA", at positions 698 to 2820 of the family's 2925-position model. The record is from RNAcentral.